GUAUGUAUGUAUGUAUGUAUGUAUGUAUGGGGUAAUGAUGCCAUGAAUUACAUAAUUCAUGCCGGUCCCAAGCCCGGAGAAAGUCAGAGGGACCC
RNAcentral lists this non-coding RNA (95 nucleotides) under unclassified sequences. The record is from RNAcentral.